Molecule: ribosomal RNA, 119 nt
Filed under: Cephalotus follicularis
Lineage: Eukaryota; Viridiplantae; Streptophyta; Magnoliopsida; Oxalidales; Cephalotaceae
Source: RNAcentral
GGAUGCAAUCAUACCAGCACUACUGCACCGGAUUCCAUCAGAACUACGUAGUUAAGCGUGCUUGGGCGAGAACUGUACUAGAAUGGGUGACCUCCUGAGAAGUCCUCGUGUUACACCCC